This 484-nucleotide ribosomal RNA is filed under the name uncultured bacterium. RNAcentral's name for it is "partial 16S ribosomal RNA". It matches the Rfam family "Bacterial small subunit ribosomal RNA", at positions 30 to 507 of the family's 1533-position model. The record is from RNAcentral.
AUUGAACGCUGGCGGCAUGCUUUACACAUGCAAGUCGAACGGCAGCGCGGGCUUCGGCCUGGCGGCGAGUGGCGAACGGGUGUGUAAUACAUCGGAACGUGCCCAGUAGUGGGGGAUAGCUCGUCGAAAGCCGGAUUAAUACCGCAUACGACCUUAGGGUGAAAGCGGGGGAUCUUCGGACCUCUCGCUUUUUGUGCGGCCGAUGGCGGAUUAGCUAGUUGGUGGGGUAAAGGCCUACCAAGGCGACGAUCUGUAGCUGGUCUGAGAGGAGGACCAGCCAAACUGGAACUGAGACACGGCCCAGACGCCUACGGGAGGCAGCAGAGGGGAAUUUUGGACAAUGGGCGAAAGCCUGAUCAAGCAAGGCCGCGUGUGUGAUGAAGGCCUUCGGGUUGUAAAGCACUUUUGGCGGGAACGAAAAGGACUGUGCCAAUACCACGGUUCGAUGACGGUACCCGCAGAAUAAGCACCGGCUAACUACGUG